RNAcentral lists this ribosomal RNA (1115 nucleotides) under Mycobacteroides abscessus subsp. abscessus. Its description in RNAcentral is "bacterial SSU rRNA". It matches the Rfam family "Bacterial small subunit ribosomal RNA", at positions 8 to 1093 of the family's 1533-position model. Lineage: Bacteria; Bacillati; Actinomycetota; Actinomycetes; Mycobacteriales; Mycobacteriaceae. The record is from RNAcentral.
AGAGUUUGAUCCUGGCUCAGGACGAACGCUGGCGGCGUGCCUAAUACAUGCAAGUCGAACGCUUCUUUUUCCACCGGAGCUUGCUCCACCGGAAAAAGAGGAGUGGCGAACGGGUGAGUAACACGUGGGUAACCUGCCCAUCAGAAGGGGAUAACACUUGGAAACAGGUGCUAAUACCGUAUAACAAUCAAAACCGCAUGGUUUUGAUUUGAAAGGCGCUUUCGGGUGUCGCUGAUGGAUGGACCCGCGGUGCAUUAGCUAGUUGGUGAGGUAACGGCUCACCAAGGCCACGAUGCAUAGCCGACCUGAGAGGGUGAUCGGCCACAUUGGGACUGAGACACGGCCCAAACUCCUACGGGAGGCAGCAGUAGGGAAUCUUCGGCAAUGGACGAAAGUCUGACCGAGCAACGCCGCGUGAGUGAAGAAGGUUUUCGGAUCGUAAAACUCUGUUGUUAGAGAAGAACAAGGAUGAGAGUAACUGUUCAUCCCUUGACGGUAUCUAACCAGAAAGCCACGGCUAACUACGUGCCAGCAGCCGCGGUAAUACGUAGGUGGCAAGCGUUGUCCGGAUUUAUUGGGCGUAAAGCGAGCGCAGGCGGUUUCUUAAGUCUGAUGUGAAAGCCCCCGGCUCAACCGGGGAGGGUCAUUGGAAACUGGGAGACUUGAGUGCAGAAGAGGAGAGUGGAAUUCCAUGUGUAGCGGUGAAAUGCGUAGAUAUAUGGAGGAACACCAGUGGCGAAGGCGGCUCUCUGGUCUGUAACUGACGCUGAGGCUCGAAAGCGUGGGGAGCAAACAGGAUUAGAUACCCUGGUAGUCCACGCCGUAAACGAUGAGUGCUAAGUGUUGGAGGGUUUCCGCCCUUCAGUGCUGCAGCUAACGCAUUAAGCACUCCGCCUGGGGAGUACGACCGCAAGGUUGAAACUCAAAGGAAUUGACGGGGGCCCGCACAAGCGGUGGAGCAUGUGGUUUAAUUCGAAGCAACGCGAAGAACCUUACCAGGUCUUGACAUCCUUUGACCACUCUAGAGAUAGAGCUUCCCCUUCGGGGGCAAAGUGACAGGUGGUGCAUGGUUGUCGUCAGCUCGUGUCGUGAGAUGUUGGGUUAAGUCCCGCAAC